AUUGAACGCUGGCGGCAUGCUUUACACAUGCAAGUCGAACGGCAGCGCGGGCUUCGGCCUGGCGGCGAGUGGCGAACGGGUGAGUAAUGCAUCGGAACGUGCCCAGUAGUGGGGGAUAGCCCGGCGAAAGCCGGAUUAAUACCGCAUACGACCUGAGGGUGAAAGCGGGGGACCGAAAGGCCUCGCGCUAUUGGAGCGGCCGAUGUCGGAUUAGCUAGUUGGUGGGGUAAAGGCUUACCAAGGCGACGAUCCGGAGCUGGUCUGAGAGGACGACCAGCCACACUGGGACUGAGACACGGCCCAGACUCCUACGGGAGGCAGCAGUGGGGAAUUUUGGACAAUGGGGGCAACCCUGAUCCAGCCAUGCCGCGUGCGGGAAGAAGGCCUUCGGGUUGUAAACCGCUUUUGUUCGGGAAGAAAUCCUCUGGGCUAAUACCCCGGGGGGAUGACGGUACCGGAAGAAUAAGCACCGGCUAACUACGUG
Molecule: ribosomal RNA, 484 nt
Filed under: uncultured bacterium
Lineage: Bacteria
Description: partial 16S ribosomal RNA
Rfam family: Bacterial small subunit ribosomal RNA
Source: RNAcentral